RNAcentral lists this long non-coding RNA (397 nucleotides) under Pan troglodytes (chimpanzee). Its description in RNAcentral is "long non-coding RNA NONPTRT005207". The record is from RNAcentral. Lineage: Eukaryota; Metazoa; Chordata; Mammalia; Primates; Hominidae.
CAAUUUCUUAAAAUAUCAGAACUCAGAGCACAUGGAGCCCCAGAGAAGAGCGGAAAAUCCAGCGUGCUUCACAAGCACUGAAACCAGAAAUAACCAAAGUGUCCACGGAUGGGCGGCUGGAUACAAAGCCAGCGUGUAGUCAUAAAGGGAUGCAGCGAACGAUGAAUGUGAACAAACCUUUGCUGUAUGAACAGGAUGACUGACGCUCACAGCUCAACGUGGAGUGAAGGAAGCCAGACCUGGGGAAGCCCCCGCUGUAUGGUCCGUCUGACGGAAGUCAAAAGCAGGAGAAAACUGGUCUGCAGUGUAGGAAGUUGAAACAGUGGAUGCCUCUGAGGUUGGGGUACGGGGGCUUUGGGGGUGAGAAACAUUCUAUUUCUUGAUCCGGGUUCUGGCA